RNAcentral lists this ribosomal RNA (254 nucleotides) under uncultured archaeon. Its description in RNAcentral is "partial 16S ribosomal RNA". It matches the Rfam family "Archaeal small subunit ribosomal RNA", at positions 345 to 601 of the family's 1478-position model. The record is from RNAcentral.
AAACUUCACAAUGUGGGAAACCACGAUGAGGGAAUUCCAAGUGCUGUCACAAUGUGGCAGCUGUUUACCUGCGUAAAAAACAGGUAGAGUAAGAGCUGGGUAAGACUGGUGCCAGCCGCCGCGGUAAUACCAGCAGCUCGAGUGGUGGUCGCUAUUAUUGGGUUUAAAACGUCCGUAGCUGGUCUAGUAAAUUCCUGGGUAAAUCGAAUUGCUUAACGAUUCGAAUUCCGGGUAGACUGCUAGACUUGGGACCG